Molecule: non-coding RNA, 289 nt
Organism: Linepithema humile (Argentine ant)
Lineage: Eukaryota; Metazoa; Arthropoda; Insecta; Hymenoptera; Formicidae
Source: RefSeq, a predicted model, not a curated record
GAAAAUUCAGAUGAGGAACAUAAUGGUUUACUUCCUGAAAAUUUGUAUAAAGAAAAGAUUUCAUGGAUGAAAUUUAAAAUGCCGUCAAAUGCCAAUAAGUCUUCUAUAUCCGAAUGUAUGAGUAUUACAAUGAAUAACCGAAGAAAAUGGAUUAUGGAAAAUGCCGUUUCAAUAGAUGAAAUAUGUGAUGAAUUUCCUCGAUUAACUGAUUAUUCUGGGGAGAUGUUUGAUGAGGAAUUUGAAAGGUUAUAUAAAGGAGCUUCUGAUAAAUUCUUAGCAAGAUUUGCCC